GUGAACGCUGGCGGUAGGCCUAACACAUGCAAGUCGAACGGCAGCACAGUAAGAGCUUGCUCUUACGGGUGGCGAGUGGCGGACGGGUGAGGAAUACAUCGGAAUCUACUUUUUCGUGGGGGAUAACGUAGGGAAACUUACGCUAAUACCGCAUACGACCUACGGGUGAAAGCAGGGGAUCUUCUGACCUUGCGCGAUUGAAUGAGCCGAUGUCGGAUUAGCUAGUUGGCGGGGUAAAGGCCCACCAAGGCGACGAUCCGUAGCUGGUCUGAGAGGAUGAUCAGCCACACUGGAACUGAGACACGGUCCAGACUCCUACGGGAGGCAGCAGUGGGGAAUAUUGGACAAUGGGCGCAAGCCUGAUCCAGCCAUACCGCGUGGGUGAAGAAGGCCUUCGGGUUGUAAAGCCCUUUUGUUGGGAAAGAAAAGCAGCAGGUUAAUACCCCGCUGUUCUGACGGUACCCAAAGAAUAAGCACCGGCUAACUUCGUG
Molecule: ribosomal RNA, 491 nt
Filed under: uncultured bacterium
Lineage: Bacteria
Description: partial 16S ribosomal RNA
Rfam family: Bacterial small subunit ribosomal RNA
Source: RNAcentral